RNAcentral lists this transfer RNA (95 nucleotides) under Thermoproteus tenax Kra 1. It matches the Rfam family "tRNA". From Rfam's summary of the family: Transfer RNA (tRNA) molecules are approximately 80 nucleotides in length. Their secondary structure includes four short double-helical elements and three loops (D, anti-codon, and T loops). Lineage: Archaea; Thermoproteati; Thermoproteota; Thermoprotei; Thermoproteales; Thermoproteaceae. The record is from Rfam by way of RNAcentral.
GCGGGGGUAGCUCAGCCUGGUUGGAGCGCCCAGGGACGAAGUCCCGCGUAUGGCUCAUAACCGGGAGGACCCGGGUUCAAAUCCCGGCCCCCGCA